GACGAACGCUGGCGGCGUGCUUAACACAUGCAAGUCGAACGGAAAGGCCUCUUUCGGGGGGUACUCGAGUGGCGAACGGGUGAGUAACACGUGAGUAACCUGCCCUUGACUUUGGGAUAACUUCAGUAAACUGGGGCUAAUACCGGCUAGGAGCUCCUGCUGCAUGGUGGGGGUUGGAAAGUUUCGGCGGUUGGGGAUGGACUCGCGGCUUAUCAGCUUGUUGGUGGGGUAGUGGCUUACCAAGGCUUUGACGGGUAGCCGGCCUGAGAGGGUGACCGGCCACAUUGGGACUGAGAUACGGCCCAGACUCCUACGGGAGGCAGCAGUGGGGAAUAUUGCACAAUGGGUGGAAGCCUGAUGCAGCAACGCCGUGUGCGGGAUGACGGCCUUCGGGUUGUAAACCGCUUUCGCUCAUGACGAAGCUUUGUGUGACGGUAGUGGGUAAAGAAGCACCGGCUAACUACGUG
This 467-nucleotide ribosomal RNA is filed under the name uncultured bacterium. RNAcentral describes it as "partial 16S ribosomal RNA". It matches the Rfam family "Bacterial small subunit ribosomal RNA", at positions 28 to 507 of the family's 1533-position model. The record is from RNAcentral.